UCUGGUUGAUCCUGCCAGUAGUUAUAUGCUUGUCUCAAAGAUUAAGCCAUGCAUGUCUAAGUACACACGAAUUAAAAGUGAAACCGCAAAAGGCUCAUUAUAUCAGUUAUGGUUCCUUAGAUCGUUAACAGUUACUUGGAUAACUGUGGUAAUUCUAGAGCUAAUACAUGCAAUUAAAACAUGAACCUUAUGGGACAUGUGCUUUUAUUAGGCUAAAACCAAGCGAUCGCAAGAUCGUUAUAUUGGUUGAACUCUAGAUAACAUGCAGAUCGUAUGGUCUUGUACCGACGACAGAUCUUUCAAAUGUCUGCCCUAUCAACUUUUGAUGGUAGUAUCUAGGACUACCAUGGUUGCAACGGGUAACGGGAAAUCAGGGUUCGAUUCCGGAGAGGGAGCCUGAGAAACGGCUACCACAUCUAAGGAAGGCAGCAGGCGCGUAAAUUACCCACUCCCAGCUCGGGGAGGUAGUGACGAAAAAUAACAAUACAGGACUCAUAUCCGAGGCCCUGUAAUUGGAAUGAGUACACUUUAAAUCCUUUAACAAGGACCAAUUGGAGGGCAAGUCUGGUGCCAGCAGCCGCGGUAAUUCCAGCUCCAAUAGCGUAUAUUAAAGUUGUUGCGGUUAAAACGUUCGUAGUUGAACUUGUGCUUCAUACGGGUAGUACAACUUACAAUUGUGGUUAGUACUAUACCUUUAUGUAUGUAAGCGUAUUACCGGUGGAGUUCUUAUAUGUGAUUAAAUACUUGUAUUUUUUCAUAUGUUCCUCCUAUUUAAAAACCUGCACUAGUGCUCUUAAACGAGUGUUAUUGUGGGCCGGUACUAUUACUUUGAACAAAUUAGAGUGCUUAAAGCAGGCUUCAAAUGCCUGAAUAUUCUGUGCAUGGGAUAAUGAAAUAAGACCUCUGUUCUGCUUUCAUUGGUUUUCAGAUCAAGAGGUAAUGAUUAAUAGAAGCAGUUUGGGGGCAUUAGUAUUACGACGCGAGAGGUGAAAUUCUUGGACCGUCGUAAGACUAACUUAAGCGAAAGCAUUUGCCAAAGAUGUUUUCAUUAAUCAAGAACGAAAGUUAGAGGUUCGAAGGCGAUCAGAUACCGCCCUAGUUCUAACCAUAAACGAUGCCAGCUAGCAAUUGGGUGUAGC
RNAcentral lists this ribosomal RNA (1139 nucleotides) under Drosophila sechellia. Its description in RNAcentral is "SSU rRNA". It matches the Rfam family "Eukaryotic small subunit ribosomal RNA", at positions 1 to 1063 of the family's 1831-position model. The record is from RNAcentral. Lineage: Eukaryota; Metazoa; Arthropoda; Insecta; Diptera; Drosophilidae.